CAGUGGCAGCAGAGACAGCUGUACCAUGGCAGUGUGCAGUGUCCAGCAUCUGAGUACAAGCCAUGGGGUCAGUGCUUGGCAGCUGCGGUGGUAACUUCACAGGACCAGCUCUGCGGAAUGUUUUGGAAGAAUAUGUAUUUCUUUGGGCACUGCCUGUCUUGCUAUUGAAAGCCACGUCUGUUUUGGAUGGCUUUGAAGGUUCCCCGCUCUGGGGGCGUAGUGGCCUUUCAUCCCCUGCGGCCUCAGGAUCCCUGGAUGGAGGCAUCUGGGAACGUGUGUGAGGGGCAGGAACGACUAGGGCCCUGGAGAGCUGGGGCGUCUGCUGCUGCUGAAGACCCCUGACAGGGGAUAUGGAGGAGCCUCAAGGAAGUCGGCAGACGAGCCUUCCAGGCCUUCUGGUUUAUGGACCUGUCUCUGUCCAUUGCUUAAAAGUUGGGAUUAUUAAAACUAAUAAUUCCUAAAGAACGCAGUUUUGUAGUAUGAAUCUCUUAGUAAAACAUGGCAUGAUAU
Long non-coding RNA from Myotis myotis, 510 nucleotides. RefSeq lists it as uncharacterized. Lineage: Eukaryota; Metazoa; Chordata; Mammalia; Chiroptera; Vespertilionidae. The transcript has 3 exons. The record is from RefSeq and is a predicted model, not a curated record.